AUGAACGCUGGCGGCAGGCCUAACACAUGCAAGUCGAACGGAGUUAUAUUGUAGCUUGCUAUGGUAUAACUUAGUGGCAGACGGGUGAGUAAUGUAUAGGAAUCUACCUAGUAGUACGGAAUAAUUGUUGGAAACGGCAACUAAUACCGUAUACGCCCUACGGGGGAAAAAUUUAUUGCUAUUAGAUGAGCCUAUAUUAGAUUAGCUAGUUGGUGGAGUAAUAGCCUACCAAGGCAAUGAUCUAUAGCUGAUCUGAGAGGAUGAUCAGCCACACUGGAACUGAGAUACGGUCCAGACUCCUACGGGAGGCAGCAGUGGGGAAUAUUGGACAAUGGGCGAAAGCCUGAUCCAGCCAUGCCGCAUGAGUGAAGAAGGCCUUUGGGUUGUAAAGCUCUUUUAGUGAGGAAGAUAAUGACGGUACUCACAGAAGAAGUCCUGGCUAACUCCGUGCCAGCAGCCGCGGUAAUACGGAGAGGGCUAGCGUUAUUCGGAAUUAUUGGGCGUAAAGGGCGCGUAGGCGGAUUAGUAAGUUAAAAGUGAAAUCCCAAGGCUCAACCUUGG
Molecule: ribosomal RNA, 561 nt
Filed under: uncultured bacterium
Lineage: Bacteria
Description: bacterial SSU rRNA
Rfam family: Bacterial small subunit ribosomal RNA
Source: RNAcentral